Long non-coding RNA from Haliotis rubra (blacklip abalone), 1123 nucleotides. RefSeq lists it as uncharacterized. The transcript has 2 exons. The record is from RefSeq and is a predicted model, not a curated record. Lineage: Eukaryota; Metazoa; Mollusca; Gastropoda; Lepetellida; Haliotidae.
GGGUUAUCAGAAGGCAUGUCACGGGGCCCAUAGUUCACCAAUGUUUAUGGCAAGACAACGCCAGCUGGAUACAGUCAAUACGUGGCAGAAGUUUUGAAAAAUCCAGCAAAAGGUCCAGAGUAUACCAUCAUGGCGACCGUAACGUCCUUUCGCUUCCCCCUCGUGGCAGCGAUUAUCAUGUGUACAGUUCAGACUUCACUUCUGUAUCUCACGCCGCCAAUUCCGGCUAGAGUGCGCAGCUGCCCCGCUGUUUGCGAACAACUUCAACAUGAGAAUGGUACAACCACGGGAAACGCUGAAAAUACGACAUCUACACAUACCACUCUUAGCAUCCGUUUUGCACGUGUAACAUUGGAAGGCCCUGACUUUGAAUAUCAAUUUUUUGACUUAGCGUUGUCUUUGGUCAGCCCAAAUGCUCGUGCUCGUUUGCGCGAAAUGGAGAACGUUGUCGACAGUAACGACAUCGUCUGGGAAGAUGUCUUCGAGGGUACCAAAUCAAUGCUAGUGGACCCGCCUCGUAUGCACGCUCUUUUCGACGUCACACAUCUCUUGGAAGCCUACGUCAAGCAGUCACGUGACAUUAACCUAACUACAGAUUUGUAUACUUUGUGGUGGCUCACCGACGCGGUGUUCAGGGAAACUCACGAUCGGGUACAGAUGACGCGUCAUGGUAGAACUCAAGCGAUGGCGUUUGCCUGGGCACAGACUAGAGAAGUCUUUGGGAACAUGCUGAACUCUCACUGCAACGUUGUUUGUCACCGUCAGUACGUCAUCGACAAAUUCAAUAUACCGUACGAUUCUUUGUAGCAACACUGUAACUUCCAUUGCUGCACGUUUAACACAAGAAAUCCUGAUUGAUACAGUGAAAUAGAAAGUCAAGUUGUUCCUGUGCUGUACUUGUGUCGUGGUGUUGGAUUUGUGGAGGAUUGGGUCAUGGAGGACGGUCACUUUGACCUGUGGGUCGUGGAGUACGGUCACUUUGACCUGUGGGUCAUGGAGGACGGUCACUUUGACCUGUGGGUCGUGGAGUACGGUCACUUUGACCUGUGGGUAGUGGGCGAUGUACUAUCGCUGCUGCAUUAACUUUCUGCCAGAGCCGAGUUAAAUCAUAUUUUAUACCCAA